This 1462-nucleotide ribosomal RNA is filed under the name uncultured organism. Its description in RNAcentral is "bacterial SSU rRNA". It matches the Rfam family "Bacterial small subunit ribosomal RNA". The record is from RNAcentral.
UCAGAACGAACGUUGGCGGCGUGGAUUAGGCAUGCAAGUCGAACGCGAAAGGUCACCUUCGGGUGAACGAGUAGAGUGGCGAACUGGUGAGUAACAGGUGGGUAAUGUGCCUCUUAGUGUGGGAUAACCUCUGGAAACAGUGGCUAAUACCUCAUGUGGCACGGAUAACGUUGGUUAACCGUGUUAAAGACUUCGGUCGCUAAGAGAGCAGCCCGCCCCCGAUUAGCUUGUUGGUAGGGUGACGGCCUACCAAGGCUCCGAUCGGUAGGUGGCCUGAGAGGGUGGUCACUCACACUGGGACUGAGAUACGGCCCAGACUCCUACGGGGGGCAGCAGUCUAGAAGCUUCCAUAAUGGACGAAAGUCUGAUGGAGCGACGCCGCGUGUGGGAUGACAGCCGUGAGGUUGUAAACCACUGUCAGCAGGGAAGAAUGCCUUGAUGGUGAAUCAGGGAGAGACGGUACCUGCAGAGGAAGCCCCUGGGCUAACUCCGUGCCAGCAGCCGCGGCUUAAUAACGGGAAGGUGGGCAAACGUUGUUCGGAUUUACUUGGGCGUAAAGGGUGUCUAGCGCGGUUCGAUUAGGUCUGGGUGUGAAAUAUCCUCGCUCAACGAGGAAGACGCAUUGGAAACUGUCGAGCUCGAGAGUGGAAGAGGCAGGUGGAAUUCCUGGUGUACCGGUGGAAUGCGUAGAUAUCAGGAAGAACACUCGUGGCGAAGGCGGCCUGCUGGUCCAUUUCUGACGCUGAAGCACGAAAGCCAGGGGAGCGAACGGGAUUAGAUACCCCGGUAGUCCUGGCCGUAAACGUUGAACACUGGAUGUCGGGGGUAUCGACCCCCUCGGUGUCGGAGCUAACGCGUUAAGUGUUCCGCCUGGGGAGUACGACCGCAAGGUUGAAACUCAAAGGAAUUGACGGGGGCCCGCACAAGCGGUGGAGGAUGUGGUCUAAUUCGGCGCAACGCGAAGAACCUUACCUGGGCUUAAACCGCAGGGUAAACCCUCCGAAAGGAGGGCUGCUUCGGCAAUCCUGUAGAGGUGCUGCAUGGCUGUCGUCAGCUCGUGUCGUGAGAUGUUGGGUUAAGUCCCGCAACGAGCGCAACCCUUGCUCUUAGUUACCAGCGCGUAAUGGCGGGGACUCUAAGAGGACUGCCCUCGCAAGGGGGAGGAAGGUGGGGAUGACGUCAAGUCCUCAUGGCCCUUAUGUCCAGGGCUACACACGUCCUACAAUGGCCGGUACAAAGGGCUGCAAGCUCGCGAGAGUUAGCUAAUCCCAAAAAGCCGGUCCCAGUUCGGAUUGCAGUCUGCAACUCGACUGCAUGAAGGUGGAAUCGCUAGUAAUCGUGGAUCAGCAUGCCACGGUGAAUACGUUCCCGGGCCUUGUACACACCGCCCGUCACAUCACGAAAGUCGGUGGUACCGGAGUCGCUGAGCCAACCCGCAAGGGAGGCAGGCGCCGAUGGUAUG